CGGAAUUCUUGUUCUGAUUCUUAUCUUGGAAGCUCAGAUAAUCAAGAGACUAAACAUUAGAGAAUCACUCAAAUGAGAAGCAGAGGUCCUAGUGGGAAAUGCGGCUGGCACGAGUACAAUUCGAAGGUCUCGCACGGGCCAGGAUCAGGGGCUGCUAGAAAGGUUGUCUUACAUAGUAACCUGCCUUCACGAGAAAGCUGAGGAAGGCCAACAUAAACAGAAAUGUGUCCAGACAGCACCCCAAGUGUGUUCACAAAGGGAGGCCCCUUCAGCUGGGUGCUGGGGAACAAAUAGGGAUUGUCCAGUCCUCACAAGGGAGAGCAGCACAGGACGAGGGAGAAGGUAGAAAGGCAAAGACCGCGAGAGAAACAUUUACCCUAGGAACGCUGAGAAGUAGACAGCGGCUAUGACAGACAAUGGGAGAACAGGAAGAAGGACGAAGGUACAUACUAAGAGAAGUGAGAAACAGAGCAGACGAGACAAGAGGAAUAAGAAUCAUAAGAGGAAAGGGAAAAUCAACACCUUUACUACAGGUCUUGCUAAGUCACCCACUCUGGGCUCGAAC
Long non-coding RNA from Fukomys damarensis (Damara mole-rat), 565 nucleotides. RefSeq lists it as uncharacterized. The record is from RefSeq and is a predicted model, not a curated record. Lineage: Eukaryota; Metazoa; Chordata; Mammalia; Rodentia; Bathyergidae. The transcript has 3 exons.